Molecule: ribosomal RNA, 450 nt
Filed under: uncultured bacterium
Lineage: Bacteria
Description: partial 16S ribosomal RNA
Rfam family: Bacterial small subunit ribosomal RNA
Source: RNAcentral
GUGGGGAAUUUUGGACAAUGGGCGCAAGCCUGAUCCAGCAAUGCCGCGUGCAGGAAGAAGGCCUUCGGGUUGUAAACUGCUUUUGUACGGAACGAAACGGUCCGGGUUAAUACCCUGGGUGGAUGACGGUACCGUAAGAAUACGCACCGGCUAACUUCGUGCCAGCAGCCGCGGUAAUACGUAGGGUGCAAGCGUUAAUCGGAAUUACUGGGCGUAAAGCGUGCGCAGGCGGUUAUAUAAGACAGAUGUGACAUCCCCGGGCUCAACCUGGGAACUGCAUUUGUGACUGUAUAGCUAGAGUACGGUAGAGGGGGAUGGAAUUCCGCGUGUAGCAGUGAAAUGCGUAGAGAUGCGGAGGAACACCGAUGGCGAAGGCAAUCCCCUGGACCUGUACUGACGCUCAUGCACGAAAGCGUGGGGAGCAAACAGGAUUAGAUACCCUUGUAGUCC